AGGAACUGCCAUCCUGCCUGCCUCACCUGCAUGGAGAAUGCGCCGUUGCUGCUGGCAUCCUCCUGGACUGGCCAUGCAAGGGAGCAACCGCAGUCAGAGACCUUCUGUGAGAAGUCCAUGUGGAGGUUGGGGGAGGAAGGAGGAUGUGCACGGAUUAUCCCGCUUGAACUGAGACAACUGGCAGCCAUAUGUCCUCCCUUCAGAUACUGGAAGGCCGCUCUCAGAUCUCCCCGGAGCCUUCUCUCCUCCAGGCUGAACAGCUCCAGGUCUCUCAGCCUGUCCUCAUAGGAGAAGUGUUCCAUCCCUGGGAUCAUUUUUGUGGCCUUCCUCUGGACACAUUUCAACAGGUCCACAUCUCUCCUGUACUGAGGACUCCACAUAUGGAUGCAGUACUUCAGGUGACUUUUCACCAGUGCAAAGCAGAGGGGCAGGAUCACCUCCCUUGCCCUGCUGGCCAUGCUGCUUUUGAUGCAGCCCAGGUACGAUUGGCUUUUGUAGGCUGCGAGGACACAUUGCUGGCUCAUGUCCAGCUUGCCAUCCACCAGUAUCCCCCAGGCCUUUUCAGCAGGGUUGUACUCCAUCCUUACAUCCCCCAGCUUGUACUGAUAGCAGGGGUUGCCAUGACUCAGGUGCAAAACCUUGAACUUGGAUUUAUUGAACCUCAUGAGUUUCUCCUGGGCCUGAGCCUGUGUAGGUCUCUCUGA
Molecule: long non-coding RNA, 704 nt
Filed under: Numida meleagris (helmeted guineafowl)
Lineage: Eukaryota; Metazoa; Chordata; Aves; Galliformes; Numididae
Description: lncRNA (ENSNMEG00000018460.1)
Source: RNAcentral